Molecule: non-coding RNA, 21 nt
Filed under: Caenorhabditis elegans
Lineage: Eukaryota; Metazoa; Nematoda; Chromadorea; Rhabditida; Rhabditidae
Source: RNAcentral
UCCUACUAAAAUUUAUUAAUU